RNAcentral lists this long non-coding RNA (1498 nucleotides) under Betta splendens (Siamese fighting fish). RNAcentral's name for it is "lncRNA (ENSBSLG00000017862.1)". Lineage: Eukaryota; Metazoa; Chordata; Actinopteri; Anabantiformes; Osphronemidae. The record is from RNAcentral.
CACUGGUUGCCAUGGCAGCACAGCUGCAUCAGGAGGACUUAACGUUGACCAGGAGGCCGGGAGGAAGCGUCUCCUUCAGCUGUCGAGAAACUCGUCAGUGUAGUAGUAACUGGGUCUACUGGUACCAGAAGAAACAAGCAGGAACGUUCAGAGUGAUUCUUGACAUUGGCAAGACAAAUGGAGACAUAGAUAAACGUUACAAUCAUCCUCAGAAAGAUGAUUUCUCAGCUGCAAACAUACAAAACGGCUGUGAGUUACAGAUCAAACAGGUUAAAGUGGAUCACGCUGCCUCCUACUACUGCACCUGUUGGAAGUCUGGUUCCCACAGUGAGACAUGAUUCAUGAAGCCUGAACAAAAAGCAGCAGCUGAACAGACGUCAGACAGGAGGAGACAGUGAAACCUCAGCACAGCUUCACAGCUGAAGCCCUGAGUCUCAACAUGUCUCCACAUCCAGCUUCAGAGUUCUGACCCGAUGCAGGUCCAGUAGCUGCAUGGACUCGCUGCGUGGAGGUGAGGAGAGUCUGAUCUGGGACCUGCUGAUGGAGAAAGAGUCAGGUGGACGACAGCAGGUGGAGCAAAGUGAAGGAGACAACGUCAAAAUAAAAGCCUGGAACAAGGAAGUCAAACACAUGUUGGAAUGUUUACUUGUAAAACAGACGAGCCGGUGCUGAAGCCCGUGGUGAGCGUGUACCCAGCAGCGUCCAGAGGCCUGGAGGCGAGCGGCUCCCUGCUGUGCGUGGCCUCGCACAUGUUUCCUCCUCGAGUCCGCUUCUCCUGGAAGGUCCAGAAGGAGGACGGCUCCUGGGCCGAGCCGAGCCGACCCGAGGAAGAGCAGCUGGAGCUGGAGGAGUCGGGACGCAGCGCCUCCAUCCUGCUCCACGGGCCACAGAGCAGCACCGCUAAAUACCGCUGUGAGGUGCAGCACGAAGGGGGGGCGGCGGAGGCCCGCACGGCUCAAGAGGUUCCGGCUCCAGCGGCCUCGUGUCCUCCAGAGAGAGAAGCAGCAGCGCCGGCAGCUCUGCAGCCGACUGACGGUGAGAGCAGCUGCUGCGUCUCUGAGGAGCAGCAGAGCAGCGGACUGACGUCUGUGUCCACCUUCUGUUGCAGAGCUUCCCCUGGACCGGGACCGGGACCGGGACCGGGAGCAGAACCCAUUGGAGCAGCAGCGGGUCAAGCUGCUGUGCGUGUGCUCCACGGUGCUGAUAGUCAAGAGUCUGGUUUAUUGCUGUGGACUCUCUGUGCUGAGGAUCCUCAGGACCGAGCCUCACCUGCUCUGAGCUCCGUUCAGCACCUUUUUAUCGCUUUCACAUUUAUUAGUAUCAGUCCCAGAAUGUUUAGUUUGUUCAGUGACUGUGUUCCACAUCUCUUGUCUUUGUCUUUUCAAUUUAAAUAAAAGUCAGCGUUCCUGAAUAAUUCCUGAAUUAUUUCUCAUUAAUUCAACACAUUUUAAAAACAUAAUGGAAUAAAAAACGUUCCGACACAGAAACUCUGAUUUAG